GGGGCUGAACUAGGCUCGACGAGGAGAUCCGUGGUCGGCGUUAGCAAGCGGAGUUGCGAGCUCUCCUAAAACGAUCGCACGGCAAUACCUGCCAACAACGAAUACGCACUGGCUGCCUAAUUUAGGCUAGUCACCGGACGCAGAGAGUCGGCCCGAACCGCUCUGCCUUCCGGCCAAAAAUUCGGGCUGGUACGACGGCGUGGUUUGACCGGCGUACGAGACUAAGAACCUGCUGCGUACGGUAAGUCCCGCUUUGAGACGUCCGUCCGAGUAAGUCAAAGUCAAAGCUGAGCUUGGAGAAUGCGCCGGUUAGGCUUUUCGGACUCGGGGGGCAGUACCCCGACAGCUCCACCA
RNAcentral lists this transfer-messenger RNA (354 nucleotides) under bacterium. It matches the Rfam family "transfer-messenger RNA". From Rfam's summary of the family: Bacterial tmRNA, also known as 10Sa RNA or SsrA, is named for its dual tRNA and mRNA-like properties. Its role is to liberate the mRNA from a stalled ribosome. The record is from RNAcentral.